GAGUUCGCGGGAGAGUAGGUUAUUGCCAGGGUUUUUAUUUUAUACUUUAAACCUUAAAUUUAUUUUUUAAAUGUUUAUAUUAUUUGAAUAAAACAUUCAAAUAAUAUAAAAAAUAAUAUAUAUAUUGACAUGGAUUAAACAAAGAUAUAUAUUAUUUUAUGUUGUAUAAACAAAUUGGCAAAAUAGAGAUGGAAGAUAAAAAUAUGGUCAAAGUAAUAAGAGUCUAUGGUGGAUGCCUAGGAGCUUUAAGGCGAAGAAGGUCGUGAUAAGCUGCGAAAAGCUUGGGGGGAGAAGCAAACAUUUAUUGAUCCCAAGAUUACCGAAUGGAGUAAUCCAGCUAGCAAGAUGCUAGCUAUCUAUUAUCUAAAUAAUAGAGGCGAUACCAGGGGAAGUGAACCAUCUAAGUACCCUGAACCA
Molecule: unclassified non-coding RNA, 417 nt
Filed under: Borreliella afzelii
Lineage: Bacteria; Pseudomonadati; Spirochaetota; Spirochaetia; Spirochaetales; Borreliaceae
Description: partial contains 5S-23S ribosomal RNA intergenic spacer and 23S ribosomal RNA
Rfam family: Bacterial large subunit ribosomal RNA (bases 206-417)
Source: RNAcentral